UCCACCUAAGUAGUAAGCCGCAUGAG
RNAcentral lists this non-coding RNA (26 nucleotides) under Mus musculus (house mouse). Lineage: Eukaryota; Metazoa; Chordata; Mammalia; Rodentia; Muridae. The record is from RNAcentral.